Molecule: ribosomal RNA, 253 nt
Filed under: uncultured bacterium
Lineage: Bacteria
Description: partial 16S ribosomal RNA
Rfam family: Bacterial small subunit ribosomal RNA
Source: RNAcentral
UACAGAGGGUGCGAGCGUUAAUCGGAAUUACUGGGCGUAAAGCGUGCGCAGACGGUCAUGUAAGUCGGAUGUGAAAGACCCGGGCUCAACCUGGGAAUUGCAUUCGAGACUGCAUGGCUUGGGUGCGGAAGAGGGAAGCGGAAUUUCCGGUGUAGCGGUGAAAUGCGUAGAUAUCGGAAGGAACACCAGUGGCGAAAGCGGCUUCCUGGUCCGACACCGACGUUCAGGCACGAAAGCGUGGGGAGCAAACAGG